This 1300-nucleotide long non-coding RNA is filed under the name Sorghum bicolor (sorghum). RNAcentral describes it as "long non-coding RNA (SBIC_LNC016461)". The record is from RNAcentral. Lineage: Eukaryota; Viridiplantae; Streptophyta; Magnoliopsida; Poales; Poaceae.
CCACCACUUUGAUGCUUAUAUGUUUUUGAAUUAAAUCAAAUAUUAAAAUGUCUAAUUUUCUAACACUUUAUUCGCUUAUUAGCUAAUUUUUUGCUCUCAUGAAUCUGUAACACAUGCUUUUUAUGAAGCUAUAAAUAAUUUCUAUAUAACAUGUCAUUUUUUAUAAUGUUUGUUAACUUGCAUACUUGGAACAACUUUGUGUUCAUGAGUUUUCCCUCUUAGGCUAGAUGGGCUUGAUCAACAAAUUGAGCAAGUUUUAGCUAGUUAGAUUUCUUUUUUCUACAAUCUAUAUAUUUAUUCGGAUUUAAGUUCUAGAUUUGAUGUAGACGCUUGAAUUUAUCUAUCCAGAAUUUGAUGAUUACUUCAUCAUCAUUCUCAAGAUCUACUGGUUCGUUUGUCUUUCAUAGGUUCGUAAGGAUAGAGUGUGUAGUCAUGCAUGCAUCGUACAAUAGCCUCAGGUCCAUAGUGCAUUAGUGGAAAAUUAUAAAUACUACGUGUAUGCGAUUGUAACUUUAUUAAUCUCAAGAUCUGUCAACUGGAUCUUAUCUUUCUGAGGGUCAUAGAGGUUGAGUAUGUGCAGUAGUGCACCUUGUACAAUAACGCUAUUGUAUAAUUUAGUGGAAAAUAUAUAAGGAAUAAAAUACUAUGCGUUUUGUAUGCGACUGCAACUACAUAUGUUGCCGAUCGCUGGUGAGCUAAUCUCAAUCUAUUCUGGUGCAUCAUGGGCUCAUGGCCCAUUAGACGCUCAGACCACUUAGAUUUUCCACAUUUUCUGACCCACUUAUAUGAAACGCACUUACAAUCGGGAGGCCCACGUUACAACGCUAUUGCCAAGUCUCAUCCGAUAGGAUUCUUUUUGUUUCUCUUUUUUUUUUCAUGUCUCCUACCCCUUCGUCCCUAAAUAACAAUCAUAGUUGAUGUGCAUAUCACAAAUUUAACUUAAUUUUGUAAAAAAAUAUAUAUGCAAUAUUUGUAUCUCUAAAUAAAUUUAUUAAAAAAAUUAGAUUCAAAGAUCUUUUUAAUCAUACUAAUUAUAUAUCAUAAAAUUAAUAUUUUUAAUAUAUAUCUAGUCAAAGUAUUUUAUUGAGAAAUAAAAAUAAUAGAUAUUUAGAGAUAGAGGAAGUACAUUCCGAUCUUCUGAUAUCUCUGCUAUAUUUCAGGCUAUGGCAGCCCAUGCCCCUCUAGCAUCUUCUCCAACUCUGGCGUCUUCUCCAACUUUGGUGAACGACGCAACGUGGAAGGAAGUAAGGAAGAGAGAAGAAAGAAUGGACUAAGAAAGAAGAAAGAGAAAAUUGAAUCG